Molecule: long non-coding RNA, 974 nt
Organism: Orbicella faveolata
Lineage: Eukaryota; Metazoa; Cnidaria; Anthozoa; Scleractinia; Merulinidae
Source: RefSeq, a predicted model, not a curated record
UUUUUGCUGAUUUAGUUCCUGCGCCUCUGUCUUCAACAACAAUAACAACAACCUCUGUUCGCUUAUUUUCGCGCUAAACUUGGUUAAACUUCGUUGUAAUGAUCCUAAAAUCCUUCUAAAACGAUUACAAUAUCAUUCCACGUCACUGAUAAACAGUUUAUAACUUGUUCCGACGUUCCAGCUCUCAGGCUGGUGGACUUCUAAAUUAUUCGUUGCAUGCCUUUUCGCGUUUUCCUUGCAUUGGAAACUUGUGAGCCUCGAGAAUUCAAGACGGAGGUAAAAACGAGUAAUUUGGAUCUAUGGACACGGCGAUGUGACAGGUGACAAUUAAAAUUAGUUCAAAUUUUUUAAUCUAAGAAAACUGAAUACCACAAUUUGACAGUUCAAGGCAAAAAGCUUUGUGUAAAGACGUAAACAUUUGGCCAAUGCCACCAACCAAUCACUGUGCUUCUCUUAACAUUUUCCCUGAAAUGUGGCAAAACAGAAACAACAAGUUAUGAAUACCAUAAUCAUCAACGAAAAACCAAAAUGUGCAGGUACUAGAAGUGAAGAGCAUCUAAACCCGCUGUGCCAGACAGAGAAUAUUUUACUGCCUAGCAACACGGAGGUCGGUAUUCUUGAUAAAAUUUCGACUUUCGUACGCGUGGACAUAUUUGAUGUCAAUGACUGAUGCCCGACAUCACCUGUUUAAACUAGAAAAAACAUCUGCUGCGCUAUUUAGUUAAUAACAAUAAUACUGGACACAUACAGCGGCAAAUUGACAAGUAUGGACGCAGGAGAACAUGGAGCAACGCUCUAGGAAUAGAAAGCGAGAAAGUGAUCAACCUCAAGACCGUCGAGGUAAAAUAACAAAAAACACUUUACCACUUUACUUUUACCCGCCAUUGCACAACGGUCGAUUCCCAGUUGCCGACGAUGCGUCGAACUAUAAAGUCGCAAAGACGACGGAUCUGCGAAAGGAAAAAAGGUUACAA